Molecule: long non-coding RNA, 1604 nt
Filed under: Homo sapiens (human)
Lineage: Eukaryota; Metazoa; Chordata; Mammalia; Primates; Hominidae
Description: non-protein coding LINC00320:28
Source: RNAcentral
AGUAGAAGGAUAACAUGACAUAGCAGGAAUAAUACUGCCUUUUCUUUCUGGCAUGGAUCAAGAGAAAAGAAAAUACAAGAAAACAGACAGAAGAUCCUAUCUGCGACAAUUAAGAGCACUCUAAGAGGAAAACACAUCCCACCACACAAGGCAAGGUACUUCUAUGGAAGGGUGAGCCCUCACAGAUGGAGCAAUGGGGCGCGCACACCUGAACAAGGGAGGGGAAGGAGUUCUUAUCCCUGAUGCAUGUGACCCCUGCUGCUGUGUCCUUCCCCUAUUGGCUAAGGUUAGACCACACAGCCUAAACUAAUUCCGAUUGGCUAAUUCAAAGAGAGCGACGGGGGCUUCUGACAGCUUUGGAGAUUGUGACAUUGGAAUAAAGGAAAAACGUACAGGACUCAUGAAGCGCUGAAAUGUUCACAAAUAUCAAGCAAAAGUCAAUGAAAUUUAUUUUGAGCUAUUUACAUCAUUUAAUAAUUGAGCAAGGUAUACUCCUAUGAACAAAAUUUGGAGCAUGUUUGUCUCUCUCUGCCUGGCGUCUUCAGAAUUUGGAAACUAGUUAGUCAUGGAAAUUUAUUUUGAGCUAUUUACAGCAUUUAAUAAUUGAGCAAGGUAUACUCCUAUGAACAAAAUUUGGAGCAUGUUUGUCUCUCUCUGUCUGCCUGGCAUCUACAGAAUUUGGAAACUAGUUUCGUUCCCAGAUUUCCUAAACUUUCCAGAGAAAAUGGUCUUCUCCCUGGCUCAGCAAGAAGAUGAACUUUAAACACUGAGAAACUGGUCAUCUCCCUGGCUCAACCAGAAGAUGAACUUUAAACACUACUCUCAAUGACUUGAUGUUCCCAUCACUACUCCUGUCAUAAAGGGAGGGGACUCAGAUAUUGAGAAUUUUAUGAUAGUGUGAACUGUCUGGUAUGUCAUUUAAGUAAGCCCGUUGCUGAAAUAUUUUCCAUGUUAUUAGAAAGAGCUGAAGAGAGGGAUUGAGAUGGCUUCUUUAUUUUUUGUCUUUUGGGAAUUAAAGGAACCUGGUUCAACAAGGGCCUACACCUAAGUCUCUUGUUGUACCAGAGUACAAUUUAGGACUGCUCCUGAGGAAGGAAUUAGCUAGAAAUCUAGAGAGUAAGGGUAACAGAUUUACAUAGAAUAACAGCCUCAGUAUUUUUGGUUCCUCUCCAGUAAAGAUCACAAAGAAUAUUGCUAAAUCGCUAAAACACCUUUGCAAUAACGUAAGGGCUUACAACUAUAUACCAAUGUAGCUCAGUUACUAAACUGGAGUAAACUAAUUUCUCUUGUGUAGAAAAAUUGGUUGGCUGUGGUUUUAUAGCAGAUCUGCAAUUAUUAAUAGUUAUGCCAAUAAUCGUUUAACAGUGCAUAUGUUAAUAUAUAUGGAAAGACAAUGUGUAUAGACAGAUGUGUAAAAUUGAAAAAUAAACAUAUAACAAGAGAGAAACAUCUAUCGAACAGACAAUAUACAUACACAUCAAACACAACAGCAGUUUUAGUGACCAUAAUAUUUAUUUCUCAUUUUUACAUUGCUUACUUUAGUGACAACUGAAAAUGACAGUUGGCAAUGCAGCUAACAGUUUCAAUAAAAGUAUAAAACAAAA